UGGGGAAUUUUGCGCAAUGGGCGAAAGCCUGACGCAGCAACGCCGCGUGAGCGAAGAAGGCCUUCGGGUUGUAAAGCUCUGUCAGGGGGAAAGAAGGCACCUGGGUUAAUAGCCCAAGGGCUGACGGUACCCCCAAAGGAAGCCACGGCUAACUACGUGCCAGCAGCCGCGGUAAUACGUAGGUGGCAAGCGUUGUCCGGAAUCAUUGGGCGUAAAGAGCGCGUAGGUGGCUUGUCAGGUCUGAUGUGAAAUCCUGGGGCUCAACUCCAGAACUGCAUCGGAAACCGGCUUGCUAGAGUCUGGGAGAGGAGAGUGGAAUUCCUGGUGUAGCGGUGAAAUGCGUAGAUAUCAGGAGGAACACCGGUAGCGAAGGCGGCUCUCUGGAACAGUACUGACGCUGAGGCGCGAAAGCUAGGGGAGCGAACAGG
RNAcentral lists this ribosomal RNA (428 nucleotides) under uncultured bacterium. RNAcentral's name for it is "bacterial SSU rRNA". It matches the Rfam family "Bacterial small subunit ribosomal RNA", at positions 355 to 776 of the family's 1533-position model. The record is from RNAcentral.